GUAUUCAUUUUGGCAGCACAUACACUAACAAUGCAACAAUACAGAGAAGAUUAGCAUGGCUCCUGUGCAAUGAUAAUACACAUUCAUGAUGUGUUCUUUAUUUUU
Molecule: small nuclear RNA, 105 nt
Organism: Monodelphis domestica (gray short-tailed opossum)
Lineage: Eukaryota; Metazoa; Chordata; Mammalia; Didelphimorphia; Didelphidae
Source: Ensembl